Molecule: long non-coding RNA, 523 nt
Organism: Rhododendron vialii
Lineage: Eukaryota; Viridiplantae; Streptophyta; Magnoliopsida; Ericales; Ericaceae
Exons: 3
Source: RefSeq, a predicted model, not a curated record
AUAAUCACUUAUCAUGUGAGACUGCUUGAAAAUUUUAUGUACUGAAAUUACAUCCAGGUUCAAACACAUACGCCCCAAUAUGGUCUCUGUGCUCCGUGAGAAAUUUUCCCACCUUAAACCUCACCUUUUCUAUUGGUGGACAAAUAAGUUUUGAUGUGUUUCCUCAAGGUUUGGAUAAGACUUAUUAUUGCUUGGGGUACCUAGAUGAUUUUCGUGAAAUUCACUUCUUUGGAGACAAGACUUGCAAGGUAAAACGUAUGCCUAGCUUAUCCAUUUAUUUGGAUUUUCCCUCCUUUUCUGAUGGCGAUGUUUUUCUCCCUUGAUUGGUAUUUCCUGUGAGCCCACUAACUUGUUAUUGAACCUCGGUUCCCUGUAGUCAUGUCUUGUAAUGACAUUUAAUAGAUCAUGUGAAUUUUUUUUUGGCUGAAUAUUCUGUAGUACUCCAUUAGGACUGACAUGCUUGGGUGUUUGUUUGAGCAGGGGAGGAAAUGACUUUGAGAUAUAUGAAUCAGAGAGAACCUUG